AGCGAACGCUGGCGGCAGGCUUAACACAUGCAAGUCGAACGAGAAACUAGACUUCGGUCUAGCGGAAAGUGGCAGACGGGUGAGUAACGCGUGGGAAUCUACCUUUGAGUGGGGAAUAACAACUAGAAAUGGUUGCUAAUACCGCAUAUACCCUCCGGGGGAAAGGCUUCGGCCGCUCUUAGAUGAGCCCGCGUACGAUUAGUUUGUUGGUAAGGUAAAGGCUUACCAAGACUACGAUCGUUAGCUGGUUUGAGAGGAUGAUCAGCCACACUGGGACUGAGACACGGCCCAGACUCCUACGGGAGGCAGCAGUGGGGAAUAUUGGACAAUGGGCGAAAGCCUGAUCCAGCCAUGCCGCGUGAGUGAAGAAGGCCUUAGGGUUGUAAAACUCUUUCGGCAGGGAAGAUAAUGACGGUACCUGCAGAAGAAGCUCCGGCUAACUCCGUGCCAGCCGCCGCCGUAAAAC
RNAcentral lists this ribosomal RNA (466 nucleotides) under uncultured bacterium. Its description in RNAcentral is "bacterial SSU rRNA". It matches the Rfam family "Bacterial small subunit ribosomal RNA", at positions 29 to 526 of the family's 1533-position model. The record is from RNAcentral.